AAAUGCAAAGUGUAUGCAAUAGCAUUGCAUUUGAAGAAGUGUAAUACUAAAAAAAAAAUGAUAAUCCAAAUCCGCGUCUUGAGAGUGUCGUCGUAGCAUGAAGAGUCUUCAAAACUUGUCGAGUCGCCGAAGGAGAGAACGAAGAGAUGGCACAUCAGAGGUAGACACUGCAUCACUUGAAGAUACAAGAUAAGUAUCAAGAGAAGAUGGGUUGUCAAAAGAAGAUGGCACAUCAAGAGAAUAAAGCAUUGUGCAGAAAAUCAUAGUCCACGACAACCGUCGGCGAAAGAAGCUCAGCGGAUAAGGCACGAUGGACGUAGAACGACAAUGCAAAAGAAGUCCAGAAAAUCUUAUAGAAAACAACAAGGGCAAAUAGGCCACAAAAGUUGCAUAGAAAGGAUCAGGACCGGAGAAAGGCUGACGGACUAAGGUAUGGUGGACUCGCAUGGCAUGAGAAAACACAAAAUAUCAACGGAUUUGGUGGACGCAGCGGAAAACAAAGAAAACUAGAAAACACACACUAGAUUAGGGAUGAUGGCAGCGGAAGAGAAAAAAAAAGAUCAUGGCGGCGAAGGCCAAUUCCAACCAGAGUGUGCGUAAGACGGUCCUGGCUGUGUAGAAGGUGGUUGCUCAGUGCGGGAAGUCUGAGUCAGAAUACCAGCAGUACCCGUCGAGGAAGAACCUGAAGUAGCGAGCAGACGCUUAAGUUGCAGAAUAUCCUGCUCAGUCAAAGCGAUGGCUGAAGCUGUCGAGGUAGAUGACGAAGUCUCUGUAGAUGAUGAUUGCGCCUGACGCAAGUGUUUCUUCUUCGUGUAGCAGUGGGACUUAAUAUGACCAUCAUUGUUGCAGUAGCCACAAUGUGAACGGGGGCGACCUGAGCCUCCAGAAGGAGUGGGCAAGAGCGGCGGAGCACUCGAGUGAGAAGGGGUCGGUGCAGCAGGGGGCGUAGAAGUAGCCCGAGCAGCGAGCACCGAGGGAACCUCCAGCAAACCAGCACCACGUAAGCGAGUCCCCUCAGCACGAAUCUCAGAAAGCGCCUCCAUGAGAGAAAUACAGCCACGAGCAAACAACUUGCACGCCGAGGCUCAAACUCCUUACGGAGCCGAGACAGGAACUCGUAGACACGAUGAAACUCCAAGUUGGUCUGGACAACCUGGCAACAGGGGCAAGUACAACAACCAGCAGUGCGGAGAGAAUCGAGCUGGCGCCAGAUAGCAGAACUCUGUGCAUAGAAGUCAUCAACAGUAGAGUCACCCUGCUGAAGAGCAUGCUCCUGACGAACCACGGAGAGGUAUAAGGCAUCACCAGAGGGCGCAUAGCGCUGACGAAGGCGAGUCCACAUCUCAAAGGCAGUAGGAAGGCCCAAAAACUCAGAGACAAACUGAGGCAGAACGCUAGCAGUGAGAACAGCUGCAGCACGAGCAUCAUCAUCAAGCCACUGGGUGUAAGCAGACAGAGCACCAUGAUACGUCUGAAGAGCCUCCUCAUAAGCCAAAGCCUUCUCAUCAUAAGCACGGAUAGCGACCUCAUCAGCAAGCUUAGUUGUAUCCUUUGCGGCCUGAGAAGCAUCCGCAGGAAGAGCCGGUGGGGUCGGCGGAGUGGGAGCCACGGGAGGAACUGGGCAUGGCGGACAGCAGACCUCGCCAGAAAGAAUACCCCAUAGACGGAUGCCACGCAUGUGAAUGCACAUGAACCCAAUGAACUCAGUGUAGUUACUACCAUCGAAGAUCACCGAACAACGAGGGACAGCAACAUAGCCGGAUGCAACAGACUUUUUUUUUUUGGAACUCAGUGGCGAGCCGCGUCCGCGUCUGACAGCAGGAUUGGAGACGACGUGGUAUGGUGAGAUGAGGCGUCAGAUCUGGCGGAGCCGUCUGAUGGAAACUGCCUCGAUCUGGAGAUGGGAAUCACGUCCGCUGGGAACAGCCUUGAUCUGCUGAUGGGAACACGUCCCUGCUGAUGGAACACGUCCCUGCUGGGAACAGCCUCGAUCUGUGGAGGGAACCACGUCCGCUGGGAACCGCUCGAUCGGGAGGCUCACGAGGCACGGGAGGAACCGCCUCGAUCGGACCGCUGCGAUCUGGCGAGCGACGGGAGGGACCACUCGAUCUGGCGAGCCACAGGAGGGAACCUCGAGGAGGACUCGAUCGAGACGAACGGGAGAUCGAGGACGAGAUUGGAUAGAAGCACGAGUUGCGCGUGCAUAAAAAAAAACCUAGGGCUCUAAUACCAUGUUAGGAAAGCAACUUGUCUAUAUUGAAGGCCCAAGGGGCAUAUAUAUAUUACACAUGACUUAAGGUGCAAGGAAAGUAAACAUAGACUAAUAAGGACUCCUAGACUAAUACUAAUAGACUAAUAAGGACCCCCUCAAAUGCAAAGUGUAUGCAAUAGCAUUGCAUUUGAAGAAGUGUAAUACUAAAAAAAAAAUGAUAAUCCAAAUCCGCGUCUUGAGAGUGUCGUCGUAGCAUGAAGAGUUCGCGACCAACUCAUGGUUCUGGCACAUGGGUGGCAAGUUUCCAAGCACUCGUCUCCAUGGCUAAUUCUUUGGUGAUACUCCAGUCGUUCAAAUCUCUAUUUACUGACUCCUCUCAUGUCAAGUUCGGUCUACACCGACCUCUUUUGACAUUAUCAGCACGCUUUAGCCGUCUGCUAUGCACUGGAGCUUCUGAAGGCCUGCGCUGAAUAUGCCCAAACCAUCAGACGAUGUUGGACAAGCUUCUCUUCAAUCGUGCUAUCCCAACUCUAUCUCGUAUAUCAUCAUUUCGGACUCGGCCCUUCCUUGUGUGUUCACACAUCCAUCUCAACAUGUGUAUCCCUGCCACACCUAAUUGUUGCACAUGUCGCCUUUUAGUUGGCCAACACUCAGCACCAUACAACAUUGCGGGUCGAACCGCCGUCUUAUAGAACUUGCUUUUUUAGCUUUUGAUGCACUCUAUUGUCCCAGAAAAUGCGAGAAGCUUGGCGUCACUUCAUCCAUCCGGCUUUGAUUCGAUGGUUCACAUCUUCAUCGAUAUCCCCACCCUUCUGCAACAUUGACCCCAAAUGUCGAAAGGUGUCCUUCUAAGGCACCAGCUGUCCAUCAAGGCUAACCUCCCCCUCCCCCUCGUGCAUAUAGUACUGAAAUUGCACCUCAUGUACUCGAUUUUAGUUUCACUAAGUCUAAAACCUUUCGAUUUCAUGGUUUGUGUCCAUAGCUCUAACUUCCUAUUGACCCUCGUCCGACAAUCAUCGACUAGCACCACAUCAUCCGCAAAGAGCAUACAUCAUGGGAUAUCUCCUUGUAUAUCUGUUGUGACCUCAUCCAUCACCAAAGCGAUAAGAUAAGGGCUCAAAGUUGACCCUUGGUCCACUCCUAUUUUAAUCGAGAAGUCAUCAAUGUCGCCAUUACUUGUUCGAACACUUGUCACAACAUCAUCGUACAUGUCCUUGAUGAGGGUAAUGUACUUUGCUAGGGACUUCCUAUUUCUCCAAGUCCCACCACUUGACAUUUCGCGGUAUCUUAACGUAGGCCUUCUUCAAGUCAAUGAACACCAUAUGUAGGUCCUUCUUUUACUCUUUGUAUCUCUCCAUAAGUUAUCGUACCAAGAAAAUGGCUUCCAUGGUCGACCUCCCAGGCAUGAAACCAAACUGAUUUUUGGUCACGCUCGUCAUACUUCUUAAGUGAUGCUCAAUGACUCUCUCUCAUAACUUCAUUGUAUGGCUCAUCAGCUUAAUUCCAUGGUAAUUAGUACAACUCUGAACACCCACCUUGUUCUUGAAGAUUGGUGCUAAUAUACUUCCUCUUCAUUCCUCUCGCAUCUUGUUUGCCCGAAAAAUGAGGUUGAAAAGCUUGGUUAGCAUACAAUCGUUAUGUCCCCGAGGCCUCUCCACGCCUCAAUGGGGAUACAAUCAGGGCCCAUUGCCUUGCCUCUUUUCAUCCUUUUAAAAGCCAACUUGACCUCAGACUCCUGGAUUCGCUGCGCAAGAUGCCAGCUAGUACCAUCAAAGGAAUCGUCUAGUUCAAUCGUAGAGCUCUCAUUCUCCCCAUUGAACAACUUGUCGAAAUACUCCCGCCAUCUAUGCUUAAUCUCCUCGUCCUUCACAAGGAGCUAGUCUGCUCCGUCCUUGAUACAUUUGACUUGGUCAACAUCCCUUGUCUUCCUCUCUCAGAUCUUGGCCAUCUUAUAGAUGUCCCUUUCGCCUUCUUUCGUGUCUAACCGCUGGUAGAGGUCCUCAUACGCUCGGCCCCUUGCUUUACUCACAGCUUGCUUUGCAGUCUUCUUUGCCAUCUCGUACUUCUCUAUGUUUGUCCGCACUCCUAUCCAGGUAUAGGCGCCUGAAACAAUCUUCCUUCUCCUUAAUAGUCUUUUGGACAUUAUCGUUCCACCACCAGGUAUCACUUCUACUUCCCUUGGACACUCCAUACUCCUUUGAGGCCACCUUACGAAUGCAAGUCGCCAUCUUCAUCCACAUAUUGUCUGCAUCACCUCCUUCCUCCCAAGGGCCCUCCUUAAUGAUCCUCUCCUUGAACGCCUAAGCUACCGCUCACCUGAGAUUCCACCACUUCGUUCUAGCUACUUUGGCGUGCUUGUCCCGCUGGACACGAAUCCGAAAGCGGAAGUCAGCAACCACAAGCUUAUGCUCAGGGACAACACUCUCUGCAGGUAUCACUUUAUAAUCAAGGCACACACACCUGUCUUCUCUUCUCGAGAGGAUGAAAUCAAUCUGGCUAGAGUGUUGACCACUACUAAAAGUAACUAGAUGUGAUUCUAUCUUCUUAAAGAGGGUGUUAGCUACGAUCAUGUCGUAGGCUAGAGCAAAGCUUAACACAUCUUCUCCUUCUUGAUUCCUGAUGCCAUAGACAUAGCCAAAGCCCCCAUGCACUCCUUCAAAACCGGUGUUAGAUGUGCCCACGUGGCCAUUGAGGUCUUCUCCCAUGAAGAGCCUCUCGCCAAUCGGUACACUCCUAACCAUGUCCUCCAGGCCUUCCCAGAACUCUCUUUGGUGUUCUCAUUGUGGCCUAAAUGCGGGGGAUACGAGUUGAUAACAAUGAGAAUUAAGUCCACAACUAUCAGCUUGACUAGGAGAAUCCAGUCCUCACGUCUCUUGACAUCUACCACUCCAUACUUGAGGGUCUUGUUGAUCAACAUGCCUACUCCAUUUUUGUUUGCAGCCGUCCCCGUGUACAACGGCUUGAAGCCGGUACCCUCCACCUCCUCGCCUUUUGUCCCCUCCAUUUGGUUUCUUGGAUGCAAAGGAUAUCAACACCUCUCCUCAUCGCUAUAUCAGCUAGCUCCCGAAGCUUACCUGUCAGGGACCCUACGUUCCAGCUAGCUAAGUGGCUUCUCCUUGGCUCGCUUCCUUACCCUUCGCACUCGUCGAGUAAAAUGCAAAGACCCUUGCUCAUUUUCCACUACACCCGUGCGUCGAUGUAGUGCACCACUAAGGAUGCGAUGAUCCGAUCCUUGCUCACUUGCCAUCAUAUCCAGAUCAAGAUACAGUGCGCCGCCAGGGGAUGACGGCCAGACCCUUGUCCAUUUGACACCACACCCGGGUUUCGAUGUGGCGCGUCGCUGAGAGGGUUAUGCCCCAAUGAAAAUCUUUUGGGUUUCAUCUCCAUAAGAGCGGCUAAGUUUUGACGUUGGCUCGUCAAGCCUAUCACAACCCUCCUCCUUUACCCGGGCUUGGGACCGGCUAUGUUGAGACAACAUAGUCAAUAUUGUCUUGAUCCCUCUAAUAUAUUCUCUGAUUCGGUCAUGUCAUGCGCUUAUUUCAACAUAAACUGAAUAUUAUUCAUUAUUGUAUAAUCUAUUAAUUUUGUAUGAAGAAAACAUGAUGCAUGACUGUCUGUAUAAUGAUGCCCACCAGUCAAACAUAGUAGGUGCUCCAGAUUUUACUCACUGAAUUGCAUCUUUUAAUUUGUGAUGAUAAACAAUUGGACCCUCAUUAGUAUUCGUAUGCUAUCUUUGCAGUUGGUACACCACUAAAGUGUUGUUGCUUUUGCCAUUUAAAUUUGACUACAUAGAACUAGGAUCCUACUGCAUGGAAUUUCUGGAUCAAAUCAAAACUACCUUUCUGCAAUUAACUUACUUUAUUUACAUGCUUUGAUGCUAGUUACCGGGAUUCCAUCACUCAUGUUUUCUUUCGCAUUAUGGAAUAAUAGCUACAUCAGAUCUUAUAUGUUGAAAUUUUACAGGUUUGGGAGGUUCGACCAAAGGCGAAAUUUAACAAAGGCGAUGCACUGGAUCAUUUAUACCGGUAUCUGCUUCAGCAUCUCCAGGUGGAAAGCUCGCAGGUUCUAGCAAUUCACAUCGGAGAUGAUACUACUGACGAGAACGCUUUCUCGGUAAGAUACUGAAAAGAUCAUCUAAAUUGCUCUCAUUUCUUAAAGUUCUGGUACUAAGAAUUUAUCCUACAAUCAGAUGCUCCGUGAGAAGGGGUAUGGAUUUGGGAUACGCGUCCAGACGGAGCCCAAGCUCACUGAAGCCACUUACUCACUUAAAGAUCCUUACGAGGUGAUGGGGUUUCUUAAGAAGCUAGUGAAAUGGAAAAAGCUUCUGUCAGGAAACAGGUCCAAAUGCAAUCGUAUAUGUUUCCACUAAAAUACUUCUGUACCAACCUCUGAUUCUUCACCACAGCAAACUGCAAGCUUCUGAUUCUCCUCCGGUGAUGUGCAUCUGUAACAGCACAUAUGUGUAAACUUCAUACAAUAAUAAUAAAUUAAGUCGUGAGAUAACAGAAUAACAUACCCAUACUUCAUUAAGCCCUGUGCAUCAGAGAGAAGAUAGCAGCCGCAUCGCCUGCCACCCGACGACGACGGCCCCGCCUCCCAACGCGUGCGCGCCGCACUUGGCCUCCUUCCGCGGUAUUGGUUCAUCGCGCGGCUUGGGUGGUGGGUGGGGUGCUGGUGGGGGCAUUUGACGGAUCCGACGCGGCGGAGAGGAUACGCUAUUCUAUGCUAUGGCGACGGGGACGGCAUGGGCAAAAUACAAAUCUGAUCCUUAGUCGCAAAAGAAUCACAAAUUGGGACUGCUCAGCUCACAUUG
This 7025-nucleotide long non-coding RNA is filed under the name Hordeum vulgare. RNAcentral describes it as "long non-coding RNA (HVUL_LNC013219)". Lineage: Eukaryota; Viridiplantae; Streptophyta; Magnoliopsida; Poales; Poaceae. The record is from RNAcentral.